RNAcentral lists this long non-coding RNA (382 nucleotides) under Mytilus galloprovincialis (Mediterranean mussel). Lineage: Eukaryota; Metazoa; Mollusca; Bivalvia; Mytilida; Mytilidae. The record is from RNAcentral.
UCCAAAAACGAGUCUUUUAUUUUUACAAAGCAAGGAAAACAAGCACUUUAAAUUUUGUACAUGGAGAAAAAGCACUUUUAAUCUCGAGACACGUAAAAUUAAAUGAAUGAGGCACCCAUCUUGCACGACCGAACAUAAAAUAAAAAAGUAAAAAACACGUUGAUCGUAAAAAAAAAAACGGCGAAUAGGUUGCAAAAAUAUUACCCUUAUAUUAAUAGAACAUCACGUUUUAUUUCAUCAGUCAUUUUGAAAGCUUCAGAAAAGAUGUCAGGGUAAGGAGGCAUAGUAGACGCACUUAUUGUAUUCUGAAACCCCGAGGACUCAGCUAUUUUAAUUGUUUGCAUCAGCAGCACAAUCACGAUGCUGGUCCCGAAAAUGUAAA